This 727-nucleotide ribosomal RNA is filed under the name uncultured Bacteroidota bacterium. RNAcentral's name for it is "bacterial SSU rRNA". It matches the Rfam family "Bacterial small subunit ribosomal RNA", at positions 68 to 792 of the family's 1533-position model. Lineage: Bacteria; Pseudomonadati; Bacteroidota. The record is from RNAcentral.
GUAAGUGUUUUAGCAAUAAGACACCAAGAGUGACGCACGGGUGCGUAACACGUAUGCAACCUACCCUUUACAGGCGGAUAGCUCGGGGAAACUCGAAUUAACCCGCCAUAAAAUAAUUGGAUGGCAUCAUUUGAUUAUUAAAACUGAGGUGGUAAAGGAUGGGCAUGCGUCUGAUUAGUUAGUUGGUAGUGUAACGGACUACCAAGACGAUGAUCAGUAGGGGAACUGAGAGGUUGAUCCCCCACACUGGCACUGAGAUACGGGCCAGACUCCUACGGGAGGCAGCAGUAGGGAAUAUUGGUCAAUGGGUGAGAGCCUGAACCAGCCAUGCCGCGUGCAGGAAGAAGGCCUUCUGGGUUGUAAACUGCUUUUGCCAGGGGAUAAAAAUACCUUGCGAGGUAAAUUGAAGGUACCUGGUGAAUAAGCCACGGCUAACUACGUGCCAGCAGCCGCGGUAAUACGUAGGUGGCAAGCGUUGUCCGGAUUUAUUGGGUUUAAAGGGUGCGUAGGCGGCCCUGUAAGUCAGUGCUGAAAUAUCCCGGCUUAACCGGGAGGGUGGCAUUGAUACUGCGGGGCUAGAGUACAGAUGAGGUAGGCGGAAUUGACGGUGUAGCGGUGAAAUGCUUAGAUAUCGUCAAGAACACCUAUAGCGAAGGCAGCUUACUAGGCUGUAACUGACGCUGAGGCACGAAAGUGUGGGGAUCAAACAGGAUUAGAUACCCUGGUA